UCAGUCGGUAGAGCUCCUGACUUUUAAUCAGGGUGUCCCGCGUUCGAGUCGCGGAUAGAUCACCA
This 65-nucleotide transfer RNA is filed under the name Clostridioides difficile. RNAcentral describes it as "tRNA-Lys". It matches the Rfam family "tRNA", at positions 12 to 71 of the family's 71-position model. From Rfam's summary of the family: Transfer RNA (tRNA) molecules are approximately 80 nucleotides in length. Their secondary structure includes four short double-helical elements and three loops (D, anti-codon, and T loops). Lineage: Bacteria; Bacillati; Bacillota; Clostridia; Peptostreptococcales; Peptostreptococcaceae. The record is from RNAcentral.